GAUGAACGCUGGCGGCGUGCCUAAUGCAUGCAAGUCGAGCGAACAGAUAAGGAGCUUGCUCCUUUGACGUUAGCGGCGGACGGGUGAGUUACACGUGGAUAACCUACCUAUAAGACUGGGAUAACUUCGGGAAACCGGAGCUAAUACCGGAUAACAUAUUGAACCGCAUGGUUCAAUAGUGAAAGGCGGCUUUGCUGUCACUUAUAGAUGGAUCCGCGCCGUAUUAGCUAGUUGGUAAGGUAACGGCUUACCAAGGCAACGAUACGUAGCCGACCUGAGAGGGUGAUCGGCCACACUGGAACUGAGACACGGUCCAGACUCCUACGGGAGGCAGCAGUAGGGAAUCUUCCGCAAUGGGCGAAAGCCUGACGGAGCAACGCCGCGUGAGUGAUGAAGGUCUUCGGAUCGUAAAACUCUGUUAUCAGGGAAGAACAAAUGUGUAAGUAACUGUGCACAUCUUGACGGUACCUGAUCAGAAAGCCACGGCUAACUACGUG
This 497-nucleotide ribosomal RNA is filed under the name uncultured bacterium. RNAcentral describes it as "partial 16S ribosomal RNA". It matches the Rfam family "Bacterial small subunit ribosomal RNA", at positions 28 to 507 of the family's 1533-position model. The record is from RNAcentral.